CUGAAAGCUGAGAUUAGGAUCACCGGCCUGGAC
RNAcentral lists this small RNA (33 nucleotides) under Bombyx mori (domestic silkworm). Its description in RNAcentral is "ovarian small RNA-14737". Lineage: Eukaryota; Metazoa; Arthropoda; Insecta; Lepidoptera; Bombycidae. The record is from RNAcentral.